This 485-nucleotide ribosomal RNA is filed under the name uncultured soil bacterium. RNAcentral describes it as "bacterial SSU rRNA". It matches the Rfam family "Bacterial small subunit ribosomal RNA", at positions 26 to 507 of the family's 1533-position model. The record is from RNAcentral.
AGAUUGAACGCUGGCGGAAUGCUUUACACAUGCAAGUCGAACGGCAGCACGGGGGCAACCCUGGUGGCGAGUGGCGAACGGGUGAGUAAUACAUCGGAACGUGCCCAGUCGUGGGGGAUAACUACGCGAAAGCGUAGCUAAUACCGCAUACGAUCUACGGAUGAAAGCGGGGGAUCGCAAGACCUCGCGCGAUUGGAGCGGCCGAUGGCAGAUUAGGUAGUUGGUGGGGUAAAGGCUCACCAAGCCUGCGAUCUGUAGCUGGUCUGAGAGGACGACCAGCCACACUGGGACUGAGACACGGCCCAGACUCCUACGGGAGGCAGCAGUGGGAAUUUUGGACAAUGGGCGCAAGCCUGAUCCAGCCAUUCCGCGUGCAGGAUGAAGGCCUUCGGUUGUAAACUGUCUUUUGUACGGAACGAAAGUCCCGUUUACUAAUACAAGUAGGUCAUGACGGUACGUAAGAAUAAGCAACGGCUAACUACGUA